RNAcentral lists this ribosomal RNA (1342 nucleotides) under Kocuria sp. RNAcentral describes it as "bacterial SSU rRNA". It matches the Rfam family "Bacterial small subunit ribosomal RNA", at positions 88 to 1440 of the family's 1533-position model. Lineage: Bacteria; Bacillati; Actinomycetota; Actinomycetes; Micrococcales; Micrococcaceae. The record is from RNAcentral.
CGGAUUAGUGGCGAACGGGUGAGUAAUACGUGAGUAACCUGCCCUUGACUCUGGGAUAAGCCUGGGAAACUGGGUCUAAUACUGGAUACUACCGUCCACCGCAUGGUGGGUGGUGGAAAGGGUUUUACUGGUUUUGGAUGGGCUCACGGCCUAUCAGCUUGUUGGUGGGGUAAUGGCUCACCAAGGCGACGACGGGUAGCCGGCCUGAGAGGGUGACCGGCCACACUGGGACUGAGACACGGCCCAGACUCCUACGGGAGGCAGCAGUGGGGAAUAUUGCACAAUGGGCGGAAGCCUGAUGCAGCGACGCCGCGUGAGGGAUGACGGCCUUCGGGUUGUAAACCUCUUUCAGUAGGGAAGAAGCGAGAGUGACGGUACCUGCAGAAGAAGCGCCGGCUAACUACGUGCCAGCAGCCGCGGUAAUACGUAGGGCGCAAGCGUUGUCCGGAAUUAUUGGGCGUAAAGAGCUCGUAGGCGGUUUGUCGCGUCUGCUGUGAAAGCCCGGGGCUCAACCCCGGGUCUGCAGUGGGUACGGGCAGACUAGAGUGCAGUAGGGGAGACUGGAAUUCCUGGUGUAGCGGUGAAAUGCGCAGAUAUCAGGAGGAACACCGAUGGCGAAGGCAGGUCUCUGGGCUGUUACUGACGCUGAGGAGCGAAAGCAUGGGGAGCGAACAGGAUUAGAUACCCUGGUAGUCCAUGCCGUAAACGUUGGGCACUAGGUGUGGGGGACAUUCCACGUUUUCCGCGCCGUAGCUAACGCAUUAAGUGCCCCGCCUGGGGAGUACGGCCGCAAGGCUAAAACUCAAAGGAAUUGACGGGGGCCCGCACAAGCGGCGGAGCAUGCGGAUUAAUUCGAUGCAACGCGAAGAACCUUACCAAGGCUUGACAUUCACCGGACCGCCCCAGAGAUGGGGUUUCCCUUCGGGGCUGGUGGACAGGUGGUGCAUGGUUGUCGUCAGCUCGUGUCGUGAGAUGUUGGGUUAAGUCCCGCAACGAGCGCAACCCUCGUUCUAUGUUGCCAGCACGUGAUGGUGGGGACUCAUAGGAGACUGCCGGGGUCAACUCGGAGGAAGGUGGGGAUGACGUCAAAUCAUCAUGCCCCUUAUGUCUUGGGCUUCACGCAUGCUACAAUGGCCGGUACAAAGGGUUGCGAUACUGUGAGGUGGAGCUAAUCCCAAAAAGCCGGUCUCAGUUCGGAUUGAGGUCUGCAACUCGACCUCAUGAAGUCGGAGUCGCUAGUAAUCGCAGAUCAGCAACGCUGCGGUGAAUACGUUCCCGGGCCUUGUACACACCGCCCGUCAAGGCACGAAAGUUGGUAACACCCGAAGCCGGUGGCCUAACC